AAUAUUGGACAAUGGUCGGAAGACUGAUCCAGCCAUGCCGCGUGAAGGCAGACGGUCCUAUGGAUUGUAAACUUCUUUUGUACGGGAGCAAUAAGGGCGUCGUGACGUCCGAUGAGAGUACCGUACGAAUAAGCAUCGGCUAACUCCGUGCCAGCAGCCGCGGUAAUACGGAGGAUGCGAGCGUUAUCCGGAUUUAUUGGGUUUAAAGGGUGCGUAGGCGGAAAGUUAAGUCAGCGGUGAAACGCAGGUGCUCAACACCUGACCUGCCGUUGAGACUGGUUUUCUGGAAUGCGGAUGCUGUGGGAGGAAUGUGUGGUGUAGCGGUGAAAUGCAUAGAUAUCACACAGAACACCGAUUGCGAAGGCAUCUCACAAAUCCGCGAUUGACGCUGAGGCACGAAGGUGCGGGGAUCGAAC
Molecule: ribosomal RNA, 416 nt
Filed under: uncultured bacterium
Lineage: Bacteria
Description: partial 16S ribosomal RNA
Rfam family: Bacterial small subunit ribosomal RNA
Source: RNAcentral